RNAcentral lists this ribosomal RNA (2887 nucleotides) under synthetic metagenome. RNAcentral describes it as "bacterial LSU rRNA". It matches the Rfam family "Bacterial large subunit ribosomal RNA". The record is from RNAcentral.
GAAAGUAAAGAAGGGCGCAUGGCGGAUGCCUUGGCUCUCGGAGGCGAUGAAGGACGUGAUAAGCUGCGAUAAGCUUUGGGGAGGUGCAAAUGACCUUUGAUCCAGAGAUUUCCGAAUGGGACAACCCAAUAUCUUGAAGAGGUAUUAUCUUACUAUGUAAGAGGCUAACGCAGGGAACUGAAACAUCUUAGUACCUGCAGGAAAAGAAAAUAAACAAUGAUUCCCCCAGUAGUGGCGAGCGAACGGGGAACAGCCCAAACCAUCCAUGUUACGGCAUGGGUGGGGUUGUAGGACUACGCCGUUGCAUGAAGACAUCAGAGAAGAACUUUCUGGAAAGAAAGACCAUAGAGCAUGACAGUUGCGUAUUCGAAUGUUGUCGAAGCAUAGUAGUAUCCUGAGUAGCGCGGAGCACGAGGAAUUCUGCGUGAAUCUGCCGGGACCAUCCGGUAAGGCUAAAUACUCCCGAGAGACCGAUAGCGAACCAGUACCGUGAGGGAAAGGUGAAAAGCACUUCGAACAGAAGAGUGAAAUAGUUCCUGAAACCGUGCGCCUACAAGCGGUCGGAGCUCGUUAAUGAGUGACGGCGUGCCUUUUGCAUAAUGAACCUACGAGUUGCCUUUGCCGGCAAGGUUAAGUGUGACGACACACGUAUCCGAAGCGAAAGCGAGUCUGAACAGGGCGUAUAGUCGGCAGUGGCAGACGCGAAACCAAGUGAUCUACCCUUGGCCAGGUUGAAGGCUGGGUAACACCAGCUGGAGGACCGCACCAAUAAGCGUUGAAAAGCUUCUGGAUGAGCUGAGGGUAGGGGUGAAAGGCUAAUCAAACUUGGAGAUAGCUCGUACUCCCCGAAAUGCAUUUAGGUGCAGCCUUGCGGGUUACUGAUGUGAGGUAGAGCGACUGAUAAGAUGCGAGGGCUUCACCGCCUAUCAAGUCUUGACAAACUCCGAAUGCGCAUCAGUUCUACCGCAGGAGUGAGGGCAUGGGUGCUAAGGUCCGUGCCCGAGAGGAGAAGAAUCCGGACCACCUGCUAAGGUCCCGAAAUGACAGCUAAGUUAAACUAACGAAGUCUGACUGCUAAGACAGCUAGGAUGUUGGCUUGGAAGCAGCCAUUCAUUUAAAGAGUGCGUAACAGCUCACUAGUCGAGGAGUCGGGCGUGGAUAAUAAUCGGGUAUCAAGUUGUCUACCGAAGCAGUGGGAUCAUUAAUAUGAUCGGUAGGGGAGCAUUCCAGUCGGCGUCGAAGGCGUACCGUGAGGUAUUCUGGAGCGUCUGGAAAAGCAAAUGUAGGUAUAAGUAACGAUAAAGGGGGCGGGAAACCCCCUCGCCGAAAGACUAAGGUUUCCUGAUCAACGCUAAUCGGAUCAGGGUCAGUCGGGUCCUAAGGCUCAGCCGAACGGCGAUGCCGAUGGCAGAAACGGUUAAUAUUCCGUUACUACCUUCAGGAGUGACGUGGAGACGCAGUAGUGACAGUGCCGCCAUCUGACGGAAUAGAUGGUUGAAGGGUGUAGGAGUCGAUCAUGGCAGGCAAAUCCACCAUGAGAUCCGAACCUGAUAGUAUGCCGCGUCCUUCGGGACAAGGCAAUAGUGCGCGUAAGCAUGCUGCCGAGAAAAUCCGCUAAACUUAAUCCUGGAGGUACCCGUACCGCAAACGGACACACGUAGUCGGGAUGAAUAUUCUAAGGCGCUUGAGUGAUUCACGGUUAAGGAACUAGGCAAACUGACCCUGUAACUUCGGGAUAAAGGGUCCCUACCCUUUUAUGGGAGGGCGCAGAGAAUCGGUCCAGGCAACUGUUUAACAAAAACACAGGGCUGUGCCAAAUCGAAAGAUCCAGUAUACAGCCUGACACCUGCCCGGUGCUGGAAGGUUAAGAGGAGAUGUCAUCGAUAAGAGAAGCGUUGAAUUGAAGCCCCAGUAAACGGCGGCCGUAACUAUAACGGUCCUAAGGUAGCGAAAUUCCUUGUCGGGUAAGUUCCGACCUGCACGAAUGGUGUAAUGAUCUGGACGCUGUCUCAACCGUGAGCUCAGUGAAAUUGUAGUAUCGGUGAAGAUGCCGAUUACCCGCGAUGGGACGAAAAGACCCCGUGAACCUUUACUAUAGCUUAUCAUUGAAUCUGGGCACGUGAUGUGUAGGAUAGGUCGGAGGCUUUGAAGCAGGUACGCCAGUAUUUGUGGAGCCGCUGUUGAAAUACGACCCUUUAUUUGUUUGGAUUCUAACCCGUGGAUACGGGGACAUUGAUUGGUGGGUAGUUUGACUGGGGUGGUCGCCUCCAAAAGCGUAACGGAGGCUUCUAAAGGUGCCCUCCGGCCGAUUGGUAACCGGCCUUAGAGUGUAAUGGCAUAAGGGCGCUUGACUGGGAGACUGACAAGUCGAUCAGGUAGGAAACUAGAGCAUAGUGAUCCGGUGUUUCCGUAUGGAAGGGACAUCGCUCAAAGGAUAAAAGGUACUCCGGGGAUAACAGGCUGAUCCCUCCCAAGAGCUCAUAUCGACGGAGUGGUUUGGCACCUCGAUGUCGGCUCGUCACAUCCUGGGGCUGGAGAAGGUCCCAAGGGUUGGGCUGUUCGCCCAUUAAAGUGGCACGCGAGCUGGGUUCAGAACGUCGUGAGACAGUUCGGUCUCUAUCUAUCGUGGGCGUAUGAAAUUUGCGUGGCUCUGACACUAGUACGAGAGGACCGUGUUGGACAGACCUCUGGUUUGCCGGUUGUGCCGCCAGGUGCAUUGCCGGGUAUCUAAGUCUGGAUCGGAUAAGUGCUGAAAGCAUCUAAGUACGAAGCCGGCCACAAGAUUAGAUUUCUCAGGGUCGUUGUAGACUACGACGUUGAUAGGAUGCAGGUGUAAAGAUGGAGACAUCAAAGCCGAGCAUUACUAAUUGCCCGUUCACUUUCCUUA